RNAcentral lists this ribosomal RNA (253 nucleotides) under uncultured bacterium. Its description in RNAcentral is "partial 16S ribosomal RNA". It matches the Rfam family "Bacterial small subunit ribosomal RNA", at positions 524 to 776 of the family's 1533-position model. The record is from RNAcentral.
UACGUAGGGUGCAAGCGUUGUCCGGAAUUAUUGGGCGUAGAGAGCUCGUAGGCGGUCCGUCACGUCGGCUGUGAAAACCCGGGGCUCAACCCCGGGCCUGCAGUCGAUACGGGCGGACUAGAGUUCGGCAGGGGAGACUGGAAUUCCUGGUGUAGCGGUGAAAUGCGCAGAUAUCAGGAGGAACACCGGUGGCGAAGGCGGGUCUCUGGGCCGUAACUGACGCUGAGGAGCGAAAGCGUGGGGAGCGAACAGG